UUAAAUUGAAGAGUUUGAUCAUGGCUCAGAUUGAACGCUGGCGGCAGGCCUAACACAUGCAAGUCGAACGGUAACAGAAAGCAGCUUGCUGCUUUGCUGACGAGUGGCGGACGGGUGAGUAAUGUCUGGGAAACUGCCUGAUGGAGGGG
This 149-nucleotide ribosomal RNA is filed under the name Escherichia coli. RNAcentral describes it as "partial 16S ribosomal RNA". It matches the Rfam family "Bacterial small subunit ribosomal RNA", at positions 1 to 141 of the family's 1533-position model. The record is from RNAcentral. Lineage: Bacteria; Pseudomonadati; Pseudomonadota; Gammaproteobacteria; Enterobacterales; Enterobacteriaceae.